This is a regulatory RNA element of 59 nucleotides. It matches the Rfam family "Lambda phage CIII thermoregulator element". Rfam says of the family: There is an evidence supporting presence of a riboswitch upstream of the thermometer. The record is from Rfam.
UAAGGAGCACACCAUGCAAUAUGCCAUUGCAGGGUGGCCUGUUGCUGGCUGCCCUUCCG